GUAUUUUGAAUUAUUUUAUUCAUAAUAUUUUUCAGACAAAGAGUUAAAAAAUUAGGUUGAUGGUUGGCCGAUCUCCAUAAAGAAGAUCGACUGACAUUGCACACAAGGUGGAUAUGGAUUUUUAAAGAGUGCCAUAAAACACUCAUUGUGAAUGAUCCUUCCGCAGGUUCACCUACGGAAA
Molecule: unclassified non-coding RNA, 181 nt
Filed under: uncultured fungus
Lineage: Eukaryota; Fungi
Description: sequence contains ITS1, 5.8S rRNA gene
Source: RNAcentral